Molecule: ribosomal RNA, 869 nt
Filed under: uncultured archaeon
Lineage: Archaea
Description: bacterial SSU rRNA
Rfam family: Archaeal small subunit ribosomal RNA
Source: RNAcentral
CUCCGGUUGAUCCUGCCGGACCCGACUGCUAUCAGAGUGGGACUAAGCCAUGCGAGUCAACGCAGCAAUGCGUGGCAUACGGCUCAGUAACACGUAGUCAACAUGCCCAGGGGACGUGGAUAACCUCGGGAAACUGAGGAUAAACCGCGAUAGGCCAAGAUUUCUGGAAUGGAUAAUGGCUGAAAUCUAUAUGGCCCCUGGAUUGGACUGCGGCCGAUCAGGCUGUUGGUGAGGUAAUGGCCCACCAAACCUGUAACCGGUACGGGCUCUGAGAGGAGGAGCCCGGAGAUGGGCACUGAGACAAGGGCCCAGGCCCUAUGGGGCGCAGCAGGCGCGAAACCUCUGCAAUAGGCGAAAGCUUGACAGGGUUACUCUGAGUGAUGUCCGUUAAGGGCAUCUUUUGGCACUUCUAAAAAUAGUGUAGAAUAAGGGGUGGGCAAGUCUGGUGUCAGCCGCCGCGGUAAUACCAGCACCCCGAGUGGUCGGGACGAUUAUUGGGCCUAAAGCAUCCGUAGCCGGUUCUGCAAGUCUUCCGUUAAAUCCACCUGCUCAACAGAUGGGCUGCGGAGGAUACUACAGGGCUAGGAGGCGGGAGAGGCAAGCGGUACUCAGUGGGUAGGGGUAAAAUCCUCUGAUCCACUGAAGACCACCAGUGGCGAAGGCGGCUUGCCAGAACGCGCUCGACGGUGAGGGAUGAAAGCUGGGGGAGCAAACCGGAUUAGAUACCCGGGUAGUCCCAGCUGUAAACGAUGCAGACUCGGUGAUGGGUUGGCUUCGAGCCAACCCAGUGCCGCAGGGAAGCCGUUAAGUCUGCCGCCUGGGGACGUACGGUCGCAAGACUGAAACUUAAAGGAAUUGGCGGGGGAGCA